UUAGGACGAACGCUGGCGGCGUGCCUAAUACAUGCAAGUCGAACGGUCUUUCUAUGGAAGCUUGCUUCCACUGAGAAGAUAGUGGCGAACGGGUGAGUAACACGUGGGUAACCUGCCCAUAAGAGGGGGAUAACAUCCGGAAACGGGUGCUAAUACCGCAUAGUUUUCUUGAUCGCAUGAUCGGGAAAGGAAAGACGGCCUUUGUGCUGUCGCUUAUGGAUGGACCCGCGGCGUAUUAGUUAGUUGGUGAGGUAACGGCUCACCAAGACGAUGAUACGUAGCCGACCUGAGAGGGUGAUCGGCCACAUUGGGACUGAGACACGGCCCAAACUCCUACGGGAGGCAGCAGUAGGGAAUCUUCCGCAAUGGACGAAAGUCUGACGGAGCAACGCCGCGUGAGUGAAGAAAGGUUUUCGGAUCGUAAAACUCUGUUGUCAGAGAAGAACAAGUUGGAGAGUAACUGCUCCAGCCUUGACGGUAUCUGACCAGAAAGCCACGGCUAACUACGUGCCAGCAGCGGC
This 521-nucleotide ribosomal RNA is filed under the name uncultured bacterium. RNAcentral describes it as "bacterial SSU rRNA". It matches the Rfam family "Bacterial small subunit ribosomal RNA", at positions 24 to 518 of the family's 1533-position model. The record is from RNAcentral.